AUUGAACGCUGGCGGCAGGCCUAACACAUGCAAGUCGAGCGGAUGAAGGGAGCUUGCUCCUGGAUUCAGCGGCGGACGGGUGAGUAAUGCCUAGGAAUCUGCCUGGUAGUGGGGGCUAACGUCCGGAAACGGGCGCUAAUACCGCAUACGUCCUGAGGGAGAAAGUGGGGGAUCUUCGGACCUCACGCUAUCAGCUGAGCCUAGGUCGGAUUAGCUAGUUGGUGGGGUAAAGGCCUACCAAGGCGACGAUCCGUAACUGGUCUGAGAGGAUGAUCAGUCACAAUGGAACUGAGACACGGUCCAGAUUCCUACGGGAGGCAGCAGUGGGGAAUAUUGGACAAUGGGCGAAAGCCUGAUCCAGCCAUGCCGCGUGGGUGAAGAAGGUCUUCGGAUUGUAAAGCACUUUAAGUUGGGAGGAAGGGCAGUAAGUUAAUACCGUGCUGUUUUGACGUUACCAACAGAAUAAGCACCGGCUAACUUCGU
RNAcentral lists this ribosomal RNA (483 nucleotides) under uncultured bacterium. RNAcentral describes it as "partial 16S ribosomal RNA". It matches the Rfam family "Bacterial small subunit ribosomal RNA", at positions 30 to 506 of the family's 1533-position model. The record is from RNAcentral.